Molecule: ribosomal RNA, 256 nt
Filed under: uncultured bacterium
Lineage: Bacteria
Description: partial small subunit ribosomal RNA
Rfam family: Bacterial small subunit ribosomal RNA
Source: RNAcentral
AGGACGAACGCUGGCGGCGUGCUUAACACAUGCAAGUCGAACGGUGAGGACUGGAGCUUGCUCUGGUUUGAUCAGUGGCGAACGGGUGAGUAACACGUGAGUAACCUGCCCCAGACUCUGGGAUAACUUCGGGAAACCGUGGCUAAUACCGGAUAUGACAUCACCUCGCAUGGGGUGGUGUGGAAAGUUUUUCGGUCUGGGAUGGGCUCGCGGCCUAUCAGCUUGUUGGUGGGUGAUGGCCUACCAAGGCGACGAC